Molecule: ribosomal RNA, 589 nt
Filed under: uncultured bacterium
Lineage: Bacteria
Description: bacterial SSU rRNA
Rfam family: Bacterial small subunit ribosomal RNA
Source: RNAcentral
CCUACGGGAGGCAGCAGUAGGGAAUCUUCCGCAAUGGACGAAAGUCUGACGGAGCAACGCCGCGUGAACGAUGAAGGCCUUCGGGUCGUAAAGUUCUGUUGUUAGGGAAGAACAAGUGCUAGUUGAAUAAGCUGGCACCUUGACGGUACCUAACCAGAAAGCCACGGCUAACUACGUGCCAGCAGCCGCGGUAAUACGUAGGUGGCAAGCGUUGUCCGGAAUUAUUGGGCGUAAAGCGCGCGCAGGCGGUUUCUUAAGUCUGAUGUGAAAGCCCCCGGCUCAACCGGGGAGGGUCAUUGGAAACUGGGAAACUUGAGUGCAGAAGAGGAAAGUGGAAUUCCAAGUGUAGCGGUGAAAUGCGUAGAGAUUUGGAGGAACACCAGUGGCGAAGGCGACUUUCUGGUCUGUAACUGACGCUGAGGCGCGAAAGCGUGGGGAGCAAAACAGGAUUAGAUACCCUGGUAGUCCACGCUGUAAACGAUGAGUGCUAAGUGUUAGAGGGUUUUCCGCCCUUUAGUGCUGAAGUUAACGCAUUAAGCACUCCGCCUGGGGAUACGGUCGCAAGACUGAAACUCAAAGGAAUUGACGG